RNAcentral lists this transfer RNA (76 nucleotides) under compost metagenome. RNAcentral's name for it is "tRNA-Gly". It matches the Rfam family "tRNA". From Rfam's summary of the family: Transfer RNA (tRNA) molecules are approximately 80 nucleotides in length. The record is from RNAcentral.
GUACGUGAGGUGUAAUUGGCAGCACAUCUGGCUUCCACCCAGAAGGUAACGGGUUCGAUCCCCGUCACGUGCUCCA